RNAcentral lists this ribosomal RNA (433 nucleotides) under uncultured bacterium. Its description in RNAcentral is "partial 16S ribosomal RNA". It matches the Rfam family "Bacterial small subunit ribosomal RNA", at positions 29 to 507 of the family's 1533-position model. The record is from RNAcentral.
AACGAACGCUGGCGGCAGGCCUAACACAUGCAAGUCGAGCGCGCCCUUCGGGGUGAGCGGCGGACGGGUGAGUAACGCGUGGGAACGUGCCCUUUUCUACGGAAUAGCCUCGGGAAACUGAGAGUAAUACCGUAUACGCCCUUUGGGGGAAAGAUUUAUCGGAAAAGGAUCGGCCCGCGUUGGAUUAGGUAGUUGGUGGGGUAAUGGCCUACCAAGCCGACGAUCCAUAGCUGGUUUGAGAGGAUGAUCAGCCACACUGGGACUGAGACACGGCCCAGACUCCUACGGGAGGCAGCAGUGGGGAAUCUUAGACAAUGGGGGCAACCCUGAUCUAGCCAUGCCGCGUGAGUGAUGAAGGCCUUAGGGUUGUAAAGCUCUUUCGGCUGGGAAGAUAAUGACGGUACCAGCAGAAGAAGCCCCGGCUAACUCCGUG